GAUGAACGCUGGCGGCGUGCCUAAUACAUGCAAGUCGAGCGAACGGACGAGAAGCUUGCCUCUCUGAUGUUAGCGGCGGACGGGUGAGUAACACGUGGAUAACCUACCUAUAAGACUGGGAUAACUUCGGGAAACCGGAGCUAAUACCGGAUAAUAUUUUGAACCGCAUGGUUCAAAAGUAAAAGACGGUCUUGCUGUCACUUAUAGAUGGAUCCGCGCUGCAUUAGCUAGUUGGUAAGGUAACGGCUUACCAAGGCAACGAUGCAUAGCCGACCUGAGAGGGUGAUCGGCCACACUGGAACUGAGACACGGUCCAGACUCCUACGGGAGGCAGCAGUAGGGAAUCUUCCGCAAUGGGCGAAAGCCUGACGGAGCAACGCCGCGUGAGUGAUGAAGGUCUUCGGAUCGUAAAACUCUGUUAUUAGGGAAGAACAUAUGUGUAAGUAACUGUGCACAUCUUGACGGUACCUAAUCAGAAAGCCACGGCUAACUACGG
RNAcentral lists this ribosomal RNA (496 nucleotides) under uncultured bacterium. RNAcentral describes it as "partial 16S ribosomal RNA". It matches the Rfam family "Bacterial small subunit ribosomal RNA", at positions 28 to 506 of the family's 1533-position model. The record is from RNAcentral.